This 29-nucleotide non-coding RNA is filed under the name Mus musculus (house mouse). Lineage: Eukaryota; Metazoa; Chordata; Mammalia; Rodentia; Muridae. The record is from RNAcentral.
UGAUUGACAGAGCUUUUUGGCUUUGAGGC